This 424-nucleotide ribosomal RNA is filed under the name uncultured bacterium. RNAcentral's name for it is "bacterial SSU rRNA". It matches the Rfam family "Bacterial small subunit ribosomal RNA", at positions 331 to 772 of the family's 1533-position model. The record is from RNAcentral.
CCAGACUCCUACGGGAGGCAGCAGUGGGGAAUAUUGCACAAUGGGGGAAACCCUGAUGCAGCAACGCCGCGUGAGUGAAGAAGUAUUUCGGUAUGUAAAGCUCUAUCAGCAGGGAAGAAGAUGACGGUACCUGAAUAAGAAGCCCCGGCUAACUACGUGCCAGCAGCCGCGGUAAUACGUAGGGGGCAAGCGUUAUCCGGAUUUACUGGGUGUAAAGGGAGCGCAGACGGCAGUGCAAGUCUGGAGUGAAAGCCCGGGGCCCAACCCCGGAACUGCUCUGGAAACUGCGUCGCUGGAGUACGGGAGGGGCAGGCGGAAUUCCUGGGGUAGCGGUGAAAUGCGUAGAUAUCAGGAGGAACACCGGUGGCGAAGGCGGCCUGCUGGACUGCAACUGACGUUGAGGCCCGAAAGCGUGGGGAGCAAA